GAUCUGGCUCAGGAUGAACGCUAGCUACAGGCUUAACACAUGCAAGUCGAGGGGCAGCAUGGACCCAGCUUUGCUGGGUUUGAUGGCGACCGGCGCACGGGUGAGUAACGCGUAUCCAACCUGCCCUUUACUCCGGGAUAGUCUCCUGAAAGGGAGUUUAAUACCGGAUGUGUUUGUCUUUCCGUCAUGGGAGCGACAAAUAAAGAUUAAUUGGUAAGGGAUGGGGAGUGCGUCCCAUUAGCUUGUUGGCGGGG
RNAcentral lists this ribosomal RNA (254 nucleotides) under uncultured bacterium. Its description in RNAcentral is "partial 16S ribosomal RNA". It matches the Rfam family "Bacterial small subunit ribosomal RNA", at positions 15 to 257 of the family's 1533-position model. The record is from RNAcentral.